AACGAACGCUGGCGGCAUGCCUAACACAUGCAAGUCGAACGAGACCUUCGGGUCUAGUGGCGUACGGGUGCGUAACGCGUCGGAACCUGCCCUUAGGUUCGGAAUAACUCCCCGAAAGGGGUGCUAAUACCGGAUAAUGUCUUCGGACCAAAGAUUUAUCGCCUUUGGAUGGGCCCGCGUUGGAUUAGCUAGUUGGUAGGGUAAAAGCCUACCAAGGCGACGAUCCAUAGCUGGUCUGAGAGGAUGAUCAGCCACACUGGGACUGGGACACGGCCCAGACUCCUACGGGAGGCAGCAGUGGGGAAUAUUGGACAAUGGGCGAAAGCCUGAUCCAGCAAUGCCGCGUGAGUGAUGAAGGCCUUGGGGUUGUAAAGCUCUUUUACCCGGGAUGAUAAUGACAGUACCGGGAGAAUAAGCUCCGGCUAACUCCGUG
RNAcentral lists this ribosomal RNA (433 nucleotides) under uncultured bacterium. RNAcentral's name for it is "partial 16S ribosomal RNA". It matches the Rfam family "Bacterial small subunit ribosomal RNA", at positions 29 to 507 of the family's 1533-position model. The record is from RNAcentral.